This 2266-nucleotide ribosomal RNA is filed under the name human gut metagenome. RNAcentral's name for it is "bacterial LSU rRNA". It matches the Rfam family "Bacterial large subunit ribosomal RNA", at positions 14 to 2299 of the family's 2925-position model. The record is from RNAcentral.
AGGGCAUACGGCGGAUGCCUAGGCGCCAUCAGCCGAUGAAGGACGCGGUAAGCUGCGAAAAGCUACGGGGAACUGCAAGCAAGUAUUGAUCCGUAGAUGUCCGAAUGGGGAAACCCACCUGCCGUCAUGGGCAGGUAUCCGAAAGGAAGGGAACCCGGGGAACUGAAACAUCUAAGUACCCGGAGGAAGAGAAAUCAAACGAGAUGCCCACAGUAGCGGCGAGCGAAGAGGGCAGAGGGCAAACCGGGGAGCUACGGCUCUCCGGGGUUGAGGACUGCAUUUAGUCUUAAUGGUCUAUCCGAACUACCUGGAAAGGUAGGCAACACAGUGUAAAAGCCACGUAGGUUAAAGGCCAGAGAGAUGAGCAGUAUCCAGAGUACCACGAGGCACGAGGAAUCUUGUGGGAAGCCGGGGGGACCACCCUCCAACCCUAAACACUGAAUGGCGACCGAUAGCGCAUAGUACCGUGAGGGAAAGGUGAAAAGAACCCCGGGAGGGGAGUGAAAGAGAACCUGAAACCGUAUGUCUACAAGCAGUCGGAGCGAAAGCGACGGCGUGCCUAUUGAAGAAUGAACCAACGAGUUACGUGCACUAGCGAGGUUAAGUGGAAGACACGGAGCCGAAGCGAAAGCGAGUCUUAAGAGGGCGGAUAGUUAGUGUACGUAGACCCGAAACCGCAGUGAUCUACCCAUGUCCAGGUUGAAGCGCAGGUAAAAUUGCGUGGAGGACCGAACCUGUGAGCGUUGAAAAGCUUUAGGAUGAGAUGUGGGUAGAGGUGAAAUUCCAAUCGAACGCGGAGAUAGCUGGUUCUCCCCGAAAUAGCUUUAGGGCUAGCCUCAAGUAGUAAGUAUAGGCGGUAGAGCACUGAUCGGGCUAGGGGCCAUAAAGGUUACCGAACCCUGUCAAACUCCGAAUGGUUAUACUGUAGAGCUUGGGAGUCAGACUACGAGUGAUAAGAUCCGUGGUCAAAAGGGAAACAGCCCAGACCACCAGCUAAGGUCCCCAAUGUCGUACUAAGUGGAAAAGGAUGUGGGGUCUCUAAAACAACCAGGAUGUUGGCUUAGAAGCAGCCACCAUUUAAAGAGUGCGUAAUAGCUCACUGGUCGAGAGACCCUGCGCCGAAGAUUACCGGGGCUAAAGUACGAAACCGAAGCUGUGGCUACGACGUAAGUCGUGGGGUAGGGGAGCGUUCUGUGAGGGCUGAAGUCGUUCUGUAAGGAACGGUGGACUUCACAGAAGUGAGAAUGUUGGUAUGAGUAGCGAAAAGAAUGGUGAGAAUCCAUUCCACCGAAAGCAUAAGGAUUCCUGGGCAACGAUCGUCGUCCCAGGGUAAGUCGGGACCUAAUCCGAGGCAUGGAGCGUAGGAGAUGGACAACUGGCAGAUAUUCCAGUACCGGUAAUGAUUGUUUGAGCGAUGGAGUGACACAGGAGGGCAGGCAGGCAGGAGAUUGGUUGUUCCUGUACAAGCGUGUAGGAUGGGACGUAGGCAAAUCCGCGUCCUGUGAGUCUGAGGCGUGAUGUGGAGGUUCCGGAAACGGAGCUGAAGCUGCUGACCCCACACUGUCGAGAAAAGCUUCUAGUUAGAGAAUUACCGCCCGUACCGUAAACCGACACAGGUAUGCGGGGAGAGAAUCCUAAGGUGCGCGGGAGAACCCUCGUUAAGGAACUCGGCAAAAUGUACCCGUAACUUCGGGAUAAGGGUAGCCGCUGUUGUGAAGUCUGCACAGACGGAGCAUGAGGCGGUCGCAGAGAAGAGGCCCAAGCGACUGUUUACCACAAACACAGGUGCCUGCUAAAGAGAAAUCUGACGUAUAGGUGCUGACACCUGCCCAGUGCCGGAAGGUUAAGGAAGGAUGUCCGGAGCAAUCCAAAGCAUUCGACCGAAGCCCCGGUGAACGGCGGCCGUAACUAUAACGGUCCUAAGGUAGCGAAAUUCCUUGUCGGGUAAGUUCCGACCCGCACGAAAGGUGUAACGAUUUGGGCACUGUCUCAACGAGGGACCCGGUGAAAUUGAAGUACCUGUGAAGAUGCAGGUUACCCGCGACUGGACAGAAAGACCCCAUGGAGCUUUACUGUAACCUGACAUUGGGUUCUGAUACAUCACGUACAGGAUAGGUGGGAGGCAUGGAAGCGAGGACGCUAGUCUUCGUGGAGCCGCCGUUGGGAUACCACCCUUGAUGUAUCGGAAUUCUAACCGUAGGAGUAACGAAACUCGGGACAGUGUCAGGCGGGCAGUUUGACUGGGGCGGUCGCCUCCCAAAGAGUA